ACGCUCGACACCUACGGGAGGCAGCAGUGGGGGAUAUUGCACAAUGGGGGAAACCCUGAUGCAGCAACGCCGCGUGAGGGAAGACGGUUUUCGGAUUGUAAACCUCUGUCCUUGGUGACGAUAAUGACGGUAGCCAAGAAGGAAGCCACGGCUAACUACGUGCAGCAGCCGCGGUAAUCUGAGCGGGCUGGCAAGGC
Molecule: ribosomal RNA, 197 nt
Filed under: uncultured bacterium
Lineage: Bacteria
Description: partial 16S ribosomal RNA
Rfam family: Bacterial small subunit ribosomal RNA
Source: RNAcentral